RNAcentral lists this ribosomal RNA (508 nucleotides) under uncultured bacterium. Its description in RNAcentral is "bacterial SSU rRNA". It matches the Rfam family "Bacterial small subunit ribosomal RNA", at positions 565 to 1074 of the family's 1533-position model. The record is from RNAcentral.
GGGCACGCAGGCGGUGACUUAAGUGAGGUGUGAAAGCCCCGGGCUUAACCUGGGAAUUGCAUUUCAUACUGGGUCGCUAGAGUACUUUAGGGAGGGGUAGAAUUCCACGUGUAGCGGUGAAAUGCGUAGAGAUGUGGAGGAAUACCGAAGGCGAAGGCAGCCCCUUGGGAAUGUACUGACGCUCAUGUGCGAAAGCGUGGGGAGCAAACAGGAUUAGAUACCCUGGUAGUCCACGCUGUAAACGAUGUCGAUUUGGGGGUUGAGCUUUGAGCUUGGCGCCCGUAGCUAACGUGAUAAAUCGACCGCCUGGGGAGUACGGCCGCAAGGUUAAAACUCAAAUGAAUUGACGGGGGCCCGCACAAGCGGUGGAGCAUGUGGUUUAAUUCGAUGCAACGCGAAGAACCUUACCUACUCUUGACAUCCAGAGAACUUUCCAGAGAUGGAUUGGUGCCUUCGGGAACUCUGAGACAGGUGCUGCAUGGCUGUCGUCAGCUCGUGUCGUGAGAAG